RNAcentral lists this transfer RNA (87 nucleotides) under Hariotina sp. MMOGRB0030F. Its description in RNAcentral is "tRNA-Ser". It matches the Rfam family "tRNA". Rfam says of the family: Transfer RNA (tRNA) molecules are approximately 80 nucleotides in length. The record is from RNAcentral. Lineage: Eukaryota; Viridiplantae; Chlorophyta; Chlorophyceae; Sphaeropleales; Scenedesmaceae.
GGAAAUGUGGCCGAGUGGUUGAAAGCGUUGGCUUGCUAAGCCAUUGUAUCACAAAUGAUACCAGAGGUUCGAAUCCUUUCAUUUCCG